UGUUGCAAAAUUGGGUCUGACAGCUACCGUAGUUCAGUAAAAAGUAAAAAUUAUACUGAACCUCAGAAGAUUUCAGUCAAAAAGCUGAUAGUUCGGUAUUUUUAUGAUUUACAAUUCGUACCCAGUAUAAAAAAAAUUACCGAACAAGCAAAUCUUGAUUGAGUGUGUACUCCAGUGAGGAUCAAACCCAUGACUUCCUAUUCGCUAGAUGCGCGCUUCAAGCUACAAGCUGCGAAGCCUCUCUUUUCGCAGUUUCAAUUUUACUUUGUACAUGCACAUUUCUCAAUAAAAACUUUUAUUGCAAUUUUAUGAAUCAAGUUUAGGUUUCAAAUCAAUUAUAAAACCAUGACAAAACAUAAACAUUCCUUGAGAUUGGUUACUGUUUCCCUGUGGAGAGGCUUGGGAAUUUUCAAAAGGGUAUAGACAAGGUUGAAAACCACUGAAUUAGACUAACCGAAAUAGAUAAACCGAAAAAUGUGGCCGGUGGUGUUGGUGGGUGCUACGUGCGUCGAGCGUCGUCCAUAUCGGCCAGUUUUUCAAACCUCAGGGUGUGUGUUUUUCAUCAGCGAGGAGGCAGCUCAGAAACGAGGACACAUAUGGGAUCAGCAACCGGUGCGGGAAGGUUUUGCUGCUAGCUAAUGGUGGAAAUAUUUCAAUUAGCACACCCCGAACGGCCAAAUGUAUGUAGAACGAAAGCAACAACUAACUGACCGACGACGUCGUUUGCCUUGAGUGCGAACCGAAAUGACCGAAUGAUGCCUUCGGAGAGAUGCUGCUGGGUAGGUAUAUGUAGGAGGGUGCUUGGGAAUUUUAUUUAUUUUUUUGGCAAUGAAGUAAACGUUUGGCACUGCAACGCGGGAUUUCAUUGCUGCAGGUUUGUGCACAUCUGCUGGAAAAAUAGGAGGAAAGAAAAAUAUUUUCAUCCGGUGAACGCUAAUGAGGUGGAAUCGAGCUUAGAAUGGAAUAUAGCAGAUCUAUGUGGUUGCAGGAUUAUGCAUGAACAAUAUUUUAAGUCUUAAGAAAAGUAUUGCAAAACAGAAUUGCAUUGUUAGAUUUGACCUUUAAGUUAAGUUUUAAUAAACAUUUUUCAUUGAAA
Long non-coding RNA from Aedes aegypti (yellow fever mosquito), 1096 nucleotides. RefSeq lists it as uncharacterized. The record is from RefSeq and is a predicted model, not a curated record. Lineage: Eukaryota; Metazoa; Arthropoda; Insecta; Diptera; Culicidae. The transcript is spliced from 2 exons.